RNAcentral lists this ribosomal RNA (492 nucleotides) under uncultured bacterium. RNAcentral describes it as "bacterial SSU rRNA". It matches the Rfam family "Bacterial small subunit ribosomal RNA", at positions 389 to 879 of the family's 1533-position model. The record is from RNAcentral.
GAGUGAUGCUGCGUGCUGGAUGAAGGUCUUCGGAUUGUAAACAGCUGUUGGGGGGGAUGAAGUGCAUGGGAGCUAUCUCCUGUGUUUGACAGAGCCCCAGAGAAAGCGCGGGCUAAGUUCGUGCCAGCAGCCGCGGUAAUACGAACUGCGCGAACGUUAUUCGGAUUCACUGGGCUUAAAGGGUGCGUAGGCGGCUUGUUAAGUGGGAUGUGAAAUUUUGCGGCUCAACCGUAAGACUGCAUCUCAUACUGGCAAGCUGGAGUGAGUCAGGGGUGUGUGGAACUGCCAGUGGAGCGGUGAAAUGUGUUGAUAUUGGCAGGAACGCCGGUGGCGAAAGCGACACACUGGGGCUUAACUGACGCUGAGGCACGAAAGCCAGGGGAGCAAACGGGAUUAGAUACCCCGGUAGUCCUGGCCGUAAACGAUGAGUACUAGGUCGGGGGGAUUCGUCUUCCCAGCCGUAGGGAACCCAUUAAGUACUCCGCCUGCGGA